This 303-nucleotide long non-coding RNA is filed under the name Ursus maritimus (polar bear). RNAcentral describes it as "lncRNA (ENSUMAG00000007222.1)". Lineage: Eukaryota; Metazoa; Chordata; Mammalia; Carnivora; Ursidae. The record is from RNAcentral.
CCCAAGAAAGAUGGUCUUUUCUGGAACUUGGCCUUGUACAUGUAUAUAGGUCUUAGCCCAUUGCGUGGUGACUUCUCAGACACGUUUAUACCUUGGUCCCCAGGAUAAUGGAAGCCACAAAAGAGACAAAUUAAAAUGUCAGCCCAGCUGGGCCCACAUUGUGGGCCAGCAAUUACAGUGGAACCCCUUGCCUCUUGGAUCACCUGAGAGUAGCACAUCUGUGCUUCCUGUAAGAGGGAUAACAAAAUAAUCCAAGUCCUUUCCUAGAUGUUCCUGGACUCAGUGUAAGUACUGUGUGCUUCU